Prunus avium (sweet cherry) is the source of this 194-nucleotide non-coding RNA. Lineage: Eukaryota; Viridiplantae; Streptophyta; Magnoliopsida; Rosales; Rosaceae. The record is from RefSeq and is a predicted model, not a curated record.
AAGAGAUCCUUCAUUACUCACAUAAUGCAAUUUCAGAAGAAAGGUGGACAGCAAACUCCUGUUCCAUGGACUCUUUGUAUGAUAUAGACCUCAUAUCAGGCACUGUACCAGUAAUUUUGGACAAUUCAAAAAUGUGGUAUCGAGUGGUGGCAACAAGUAUGAAGUUGGGAGGUAGAGGAGCUGCCCAUGUGGAA